AACGUGGGGGGCCAAAUAAAAUCACUCGCAGGCCACCAGUUGGGGAACCCUGUUGUAAUGUUAAGUGUGUGUAGGCUAGUUGAGGACAAGUUCUCAUUUGCAACUGCGACCUGGCCAAGAUAAAGCAUGAAUGGGACCCCUCUUGUAAUUACCUAUUCUUCAGGAGCAACAUGCGAGACUGUCAGAAGCUGCGGGCCAAGCUGAGGAGAAGAAAGGGGGCGCGGGUAUACGCCUGCCAGUGUAGCUGGCACUCUGCUCGAGACCUCACCGACCUGAGAGAACAGCACCAGCUCAAACGUUCAGCAGAGCAGCCACAUCCUGUGAGUCAUGUCCUGUGGAAAUGUCACUGGGUGGUGAAUUCGGAGGGGGACACUGAAGUCGACCAACCUGAUUCUAGAAACACCACGGGACCAAAUACUCGGUGGUUUCAAACCAUAUGACACUGGAGCCUUUGGUUCUGCAUAUCACACUUUAGUCUUCACUUUUUUCCCGGUUUAAAUGUGGAAUUGCACUUUAUUUAGGUUCAACAAAUAGAGCUAAAUGACUUAAAUGUAAUGUAAAUGUAGAGAAUGAAAACCAGGUUAGUGUAGUAUGAUUAUAACUGAUUGAUAGCAUUUUCCUUAGAAAUCUGACUCCACCGGACCAUUUGAUAUCCUCUAUGACACAAAUGACAAUUGAUCAUUCUUUUCUUCUUUUUGUUUUCUGUUUGUGUGUUAGAGAGAGCAUAUUUGUGUGUUAGAGAGAGCAUAUU
Oncorhynchus gorbuscha (pink salmon) is the source of this 751-nucleotide long non-coding RNA. RefSeq lists it as uncharacterized. Lineage: Eukaryota; Metazoa; Chordata; Actinopteri; Salmoniformes; Salmonidae. The transcript is spliced from 4 exons. The record is from RefSeq and is a predicted model, not a curated record.